Molecule: long non-coding RNA, 1266 nt
Filed under: Olea europaea subsp. europaea
Lineage: Eukaryota; Viridiplantae; Streptophyta; Magnoliopsida; Lamiales; Oleaceae
Source: RNAcentral
UUUGAAGUAAAAUUAAAACAAAAUAGAGGUGGAAACUUAGAAUUAGGGUGCCAAAACACAAUCAUUACAUUUGCCUCAACAGAUUCGCAACGGAGCCCUUUUUGCGAUCCCAGCCACGAUCCCGGCAUUGAAGGUCUCACUCCCCCAGUCCAUCUUCUCCACUCCAACCUAUAUUCUCCAUCUCCAAAACCAUAACCGGAUCAUUACAUAGGAUGGUAUAAUUUUUUGGUUGAAAUUUUUUUGUUUAAUUUAAGCUGAAAGUUUUGUUCAUCAGUACAAUGACCUAUAUCUACUUACUUUAUUCGAAGAAUUUGGUUUAUUAUUUUUGGAAAUCGUAAAUGAUCAAUUUUGAUUAAUUGUAAGAUCUCCUUUGUAUUUAGUUCAUUCAUUUGUUACAUUUAAUUAACCCAAAAAAAGGAAAAAAAAUGGAUUUCUAUCUAAAUGUAUUCGAUGAUGAUGUGUAAGGAAGAUUGGAAUACAUAUUCACAGAACUCAGCUGGAUUUUGAUUUAAGAUUGGGCAUUUCGAACACAUAAAUAUUAAGUGGGUGUUUUAUGUUUUGCAGGAUCACCAAAUAUGGAAGAUGUUUUGUUCGUCGAUUCAAAAAAAUGAGAAUGUUGACGAUAAAGUGAUUGCCCUGGAAGAUGAAACGGUAAGUGGAGUUGGAUUGACUGCGUCUAAGAUUGGUGUGCAGUUCAAGGAAGAAAAGGAAGUGUAUGAUUUUUACGCAAGCUAUGCUUAUGCUAUAGGUUUUUGAGUUAGAAAGAAGAGUUCGAUGAGUGAUGAUGAUGUUGUUUUGAGAUUUUCACGUUAACCUGUAGUCGGAAGGAAAGAAGAAGUGGUAAUACAAGAUAUCCAUGGUUACUGGAAAAUUGGCACCGUUUACCCUGACCACAAUCAUAAGACAAGCCCUACUAAGUCCAUAUUGUAUCGAUGCAACCAAAAAUUGAGUUAACACAUGAAAUGGAAGCUCGAAGUGAAUAAUAUAGCUGGAAUACCAUUGCAUAAAAGAUUUAACUCCGCAGUUGUUGAAGUUCGAAAUACCUCCUAAGGGAGCUUUGAUGUAAAAAUGUUUAGUGCGAGCACAAAUUUAGUUGGUUAUGAGACUUGAUUAAGUGGAAUUGUAUGGUGUAUUGAUUGAAAAAGUGAUUAUUGCUUAUCACUGUUCCUUAAUUUGAAAUAUUAUGUAUCAUGUUUUGUUUUGUGGAAAAUCAUGUCCUGAGCAGUGUGAUGGAAUAAGAUAGAACCAUUUUAAACUUGUGUUGUU